GUGCCAGCCGCGGCGGUAAUACGUAGGUGGCGAGCGUUAUCCGGAAUUAUUGGGCGUAAAGGGAGCGUAGGCGGUUUAUUAAGUCUAAGGUGAAAGUUCGGGGCUCAACCCCGUGAUGCCUUAGAAACUGGUAGACUUGAGUACAGGAGAGGUGAGUGGAAUUCCAUGUGUAGCGGUAAAAUGCGUAGAUAUAUGGAGGAACACCAGUGGCGAAGGCGGCUCACUGGCCUGUAACUGACGCUGAGGCUCGAAAGCGUGGGGAGCAAAUAGGAUUAGAUACCCUAGUAGUCCACGCCGUAAACGAUGGAUACUAAGUGUUGGACGGAAGUUCAGUGCUGCAGUUAACGCAAUAAGUAUCCCGCCUGGGAGUAUGCGCGCAAGCGUAAAACUCAAAGGAAUUGACGGGGCCCGCACAAGCGGUGGAGUAUGUGGUUAAUUCGAAGCAACGCGAAAGAACCUUAACCAGGUCCUGACAUAACCACGCAAAAGCACAGAGAUGUGUAAUAGUUAAUGGUGGAUACAGGUGUGCAUG
Molecule: ribosomal RNA, 532 nt
Filed under: uncultured Erysipelothrix sp.
Lineage: Bacteria; Bacillati; Bacillota; Erysipelotrichia; Erysipelotrichales; Erysipelotrichaceae
Description: bacterial SSU rRNA
Rfam family: Bacterial small subunit ribosomal RNA
Source: RNAcentral